UUUCAUAUUCAUAAUUUAUAUUAAUGUAUAAUAGCCAAACCACAUAAAGAUAAUCAAACAAUCCCAGGCCACUACAAUAUAUUUUUCCAAAAACCACUCCAACCUUUACACACAACAUAUUAUCACACUUUAACUUAAUUUGACCAUAUAUGGAGAGCAACUUUUGGACUAAAUGUAGCUUCUUUUUUACUCAGCACAACUAGAAGAUAAUAAGCAAACUAAAAGAUUCUACAGACUAACUAACUGAUACCAGCAAACCCUUACCAACCCUAGCUAACCCUAAAAACACAUGCAUAAAACCAGACUAUUAAAACGGGACACACGCAACAACUAGAUCACUAACACUCACACGUCUAGAUAUAUCACUCUCUCAUGGAGAUCGAUGCCACACUCUUAAUUAGUCGGCUUGACCGGGGUUGGUGGCCGGCUGCACCUUAUUCCAGGGAAGGAACAAAAGCUCGAAGACCCGAACCCUAAACCGCCAGGGCUGGGAAAAGUUCCAGUGAAUCCAGGGCUUUGAAAGGUUCCCGUUAUUGGACCUGGCAAAGUCCCACCAAAACUUCCAGUAAAGUUUUCAGGCUCAUCAACUUUCUCUUUGCCCUUCAUCUUCCUUCCUCCUUCCACACCGUCCGAUCCGAAGAACACAAGAAACACAGUGACCAUCACCAACAUUACUCUAGUAACUCUCUCCAUCUCUCUCUCCUCUUUUUGGUUACUCAUGAAGAAAUUAAGUCCCAUUUAUAUAGAAGGGAU
RNAcentral lists this long non-coding RNA (753 nucleotides) under Panax ginseng (ginseng). RNAcentral describes it as "long non-coding RNA (PGIN_LNC011757)". Lineage: Eukaryota; Viridiplantae; Streptophyta; Magnoliopsida; Apiales; Araliaceae. The record is from RNAcentral.